GACGAACGCUGGCGGCGCGCCUAACACAUGCAAGUCGAACGGAGUCAAGAGGAGCUUGCUUUUCUUGAGUUAGUGGCGAACGGGUGAGUAACGCGUGAGUAACCUGCCCUGGAGUGGGGGACAACCGUUGGAAACGACUGCUAAUACCGCAUAAGCUCACGGAUCUGCAUGGAUCUGCGGGAAAAGGAUUUAUUCGCUCUAGGAUGGACUCGCGUCCACUUAGCUAGUUGGUGAGGUAACGGCCCACCAAGGCGACGAUUGGUAGCCGGACUGAGAGGCUGAACGACCACAAUGGGACUGAGACACGGCCCAGACUCCUACGGGAGGCAGCAGUGGGUGAUAUUGCACAAUGGGGGAAAACCUGAUGCAGCGACGCCGCGUAGAGGAAGAAGGUGUUCGGAUUGUAAACUCCUGUCGUAAGGGACGAUAAUGACGGUACCUAACAAGAAAGCACCGGCUAACUACGUG
Molecule: ribosomal RNA, 468 nt
Filed under: uncultured bacterium
Lineage: Bacteria
Description: partial 16S ribosomal RNA
Rfam family: Bacterial small subunit ribosomal RNA
Source: RNAcentral